Molecule: ribosomal RNA, 505 nt
Filed under: uncultured Geobacter sp.
Lineage: Bacteria; Pseudomonadati; Thermodesulfobacteriota; Desulfuromonadia; Geobacterales; Geobacteraceae
Description: bacterial SSU rRNA
Rfam family: Bacterial small subunit ribosomal RNA
Source: RNAcentral
ACUCCUACGGGAGGCAGCAGUGGGGAAUUUUGCGCAAUGGGCGAAAGCCUGACGCAGCAACGCCGCGUGAGUGAUGAAGGCUUUCGGGUCGUAAAGCUCUGUCAGGGGGAAAGAAGUGUAUUGUGGCUAAUAUCCACGAUACUUGACGGUACCCCCAAAGGAAGCACCGGCUAACUCCGUGCCAGCAGCCGCGGUAAUACGGAGGGUGCAAGCGUUGUUCGGAAUUAUUGGGCGUAAAGCGCGUGUAGGCGGUUUGGUAAGUCUGAUGUGAAAGCCCCGGGCUCAACCCGGGAAGUGCAUUGGAAACUGGCAGACUUGAAUACGGGAGAGGGUAGUGGAAUUCCUAGUGUAGGAGUGAAAUCCGUAGAUAUUAGGAGGAACACCGGUGGCGAAGGCGGCUGCCUGGACCGAUAUUGACGCUGAGACGCGAAAGCGUGGGUAGCAAACAGGAUUAGAUACCCUGGUAGUCCACGCCGUAAACGAUGAGAACUAGGUGUCGCGGGUA